This 1010-nucleotide ribosomal RNA is filed under the name uncultured bacterium. Its description in RNAcentral is "bacterial SSU rRNA". It matches the Rfam family "Bacterial small subunit ribosomal RNA", at positions 58 to 1067 of the family's 1533-position model. The record is from RNAcentral.
CAAGUCGAGGGGCAGCACGUCUUCGGAUGGUGGCGACCGGCGCACGGGUGCGUAACGCGUAUGCAACCUACCUUACACUGGGGUAUAGCCCGGAGAAAUUCGGAUUAAUCCCCCAUAGCACUUAGAGAUGGCAUCAUUUUUAAGUUAAAGUAUUGCGGUGUAAGAUGGGCAUGCGUCCUAUUAGCUAGAUGGUAAGGUAACGGCUUACCAUGGCUACGAUAGGUAGGGGGCCUGAGAGGGUGGUCCCCCACACUGGUACUGAGACACGGACCAGACUCCUACGGGAGGCAGCAGUGAGGAAUAUUGGUCAAUGGGCGCAAGCCUGAACCAGCCAUGCCGCGUGCAGGAAGAAUGCCCUAUGGGUUGUAAACUGCUUUUAUUUAGGAAUAAACCUUUCUACGUGUAGAAAGCUGAAGGUACUGAAUGAAUAAGCACCGGCUAACUCCGUGCCAGCAGCCGCGGUAAUACGGAGGGUGCAAGCGUUAUCCGGAAUCAUUGGGUUUAAAGGGUCCGCAGGCGGAUGUAUAAGUCAGUGGUGAAAGCCUAUCGCUUAACGAUAGAACUGCCAUUGAUACUGUACGUCUUGAAUUCGGUCGAAGUGGGCGGAAUGUGUAGUGUAGCGGUGAAAUGCAUAGAUAUUACACAGAACACCGAUAGCGAAGGCAGCUCACUAGGCCUGGAUUGACGCUCAGGGACGAAAGCGUGGGGAUCAAACAGGAUUAGAUACCCUGGUAGUCCACGCUGUAAACGAUGAUUACUCGUUUUCGGCGAUACACAGUCGGAGACUAAGCGAAAGUGAUAAGUAAUCCACCUGGGGAGUACGAUCGCAAGGUUGAAACUCAAAGGAAUUGACGGGGGGCCCGCACAAGCGGUGGAGCAUGUGGUUUAAUUCGAUGAUACGCGAGGAACCUUUACCAGGGCUUAAAUACAAGUUGCAUGAUGUGGAAAACACGUCAGUCUUCGGACUAUUUGCAAGGGUGCUGCAUGGCUGUUCGUCAGCUUCGUUGCCG